GAUGAACGCUGGCGGCGUGCCUAAUACAUGCAAGUCGAGCGAACGGACGAGAAGCUUGCUUCUCUGAUGUUAGCGGCGGACGUGUGAGUAACACGUGGAUAACCUACCUAUAAGACUGGGAUAACUUCGGGAAACCGGAGCUAAUACCGGAUAAUAUUUUGAACCGCAUGGUUCAAAAGUGAAAGACGGUCUUGCUGUCACUUAUAGAUGGAUCCGCGCUGGAUUAGCUAGUUGGUAAGGUAACAGCUUACCAAGGCAACGAUGCAUAGCCGACCUGAGAGGGUGACCGGCCACACUGGAACUGAGACACGGUCCAGACUCCUACGGGAGGCAGCAGUAGGGAAUGUUGCGCAAUGGGCGAAAGCCUGACGGAGCAACGCCGCGUGAGUGAUGAAGGUCUUCGGAUCGUAAAACUCUGUUAUUAGGGAAGAACAUAUGUGUAAGUAAAUGUGGACAUAUUGACGGUACCUGCACAGAAAGCAACGGCUAACUACGUG
RNAcentral lists this ribosomal RNA (497 nucleotides) under uncultured bacterium. RNAcentral describes it as "partial 16S ribosomal RNA". It matches the Rfam family "Bacterial small subunit ribosomal RNA", at positions 28 to 507 of the family's 1533-position model. The record is from RNAcentral.